This 73-nucleotide transfer RNA is filed under the name Candidatus Palibaumannia cicadellinicola. RNAcentral describes it as "Candidatus Baumannia cicadellinicola tRNA-Thr". It matches the Rfam family "tRNA". Rfam says of the family: Transfer RNA (tRNA) molecules are approximately 80 nucleotides in length. Their secondary structure includes four short double-helical elements and three loops (D, anti-codon, and T loops). Further hydrogen bonds mediate the characteristic L-shaped molecular structure. tRNAs have two regions of fundamental functional importance: the anti-codon, which is responsible for specific mRNA codon recognition, and the 3' end, to which the tRNAs corresponding amino acid is attached (by aminoacyl-tRNA synthetases). tRNAs cope with the degeneracy of the genetic code in two manners: having more than one tRNA (with a specific anti-codon) for a particular amino acid; and 'wobble' base-pairing, i.e. permitting non-standard base-pairing at the 3rd anti-codon position. The record is from RNAcentral. Lineage: Bacteria; Pseudomonadati; Pseudomonadota; Gammaproteobacteria.
GCCGGCAUAGCUUAAAUGGUAGAGCAACUGAUUUGUAAUCAGUAGAUUGAAGGUUCGACUCCUUUUGUCGGCA